This is a non-coding RNA of Vicugna pacos (alpaca), 1009 nucleotides long. NCBI's taxonomy places the organism in Eukaryota, Metazoa, Chordata, Mammalia, Artiodactyla, Camelidae. The record is from RefSeq and is a predicted model, not a curated record.
UUAAGGCAGGAAGAAUGUUUUAAAAUAUCGGUAUUAUUAUAAUUCAUAUAUGGUAAGGCCAACAGAUCAAGAGAUGCUUACCUUUCAGAAGAGGUUAUUAUUUUACAGAUACCAAGAGCAGGGGGCAUACCAUGCUGUUGCAAGGACCACAUUGGAAGCACCAGGGAUGGUGAGGAUGCAGUCAGAGUGAGGGGAAAAUGUAAGCAAGAGUCUUAGUUGUGGUUUCCAUGGGAAGGAAUGGCAGAGCAAGUUUAGGAUUGGCUAGUUUGAAUAAUGUUGGUGGGCUCUGGGCGUAGGGCCUGUCCUUGGUUGUCUGAUACCUGGCCCUGGGGUGAUUAGGGCAGGGGAAAAAUGGCCCUGAGUGUGGGAACCUAGUAACAAAGGUGGUUGUGGGUACGGGCCCUGGGUGGUUGAUUUGCAUAUGGCAGGCACACUUGCAAAGCAGUUACUAUCUCCAGGACUUGGCUAGCUCUCUCCAGGGUCAGCAUUGCCUCAGAUGUCAAAGCAUCAGAAGCAUAUGGUUAAUACAGUAAUGAGGCAUCUGAAUGCUUUUUCCUGGUACUUCUGGUACAGCUGUGGAAAUACUUCCCGUCUCUUUCCCUUUGGAGAUGUGAGGCUUGGAACUGAUGCCACAAUCUUGUUACCACUCUGAGAAUGAAGCUGAGACAGGGAGUCCACUAUAUCAUUUAUCAUAUAAUCUAUUUAUCAAGUCCAUGUUUCUCCUAUGAACGUGACCUUGGAGAACCCCUUCCUCCCACUUGUAUUGGGCGUGCUGUGAUGCACUGCUGUCAAGCUGCUUACUUCUUUCUGCCCCCCCCCCCCCUUCCGCUUGCUCCUUCUACUCUUGCCUCACUGGCCGUUUUCCAUUGUCACCUUUCAGUUGACUACCAUGUUUAAAAUUUGUUAAGUCCUUGUUUGUUCAAUUCAUGACUUUUCUGUCUUUAUUUUUCCCUAUAAUACUUCCCACCAUCUCAUAUACAGGCAUACCUCCAAUAUUGAAGGUUCAGUU